RNAcentral lists this ribosomal RNA (588 nucleotides) under Pseudomonas brassicae. RNAcentral's name for it is "bacterial SSU rRNA". It matches the Rfam family "Bacterial small subunit ribosomal RNA", at positions 1 to 585 of the family's 1533-position model. Lineage: Bacteria; Pseudomonadati; Pseudomonadota; Gammaproteobacteria; Pseudomonadales; Pseudomonadaceae. The record is from RNAcentral.
GAACUGAAGAGUUUGAUCAUGGCUCAGAUUGAACGCUGGCGGCAGGCCUAACACAUGCAAGUCGAGCGGAUGAGAAGAGCUUGCUCUUCGAUUCAGCGGCGGACGGGUGAGUAAUACCUAGGAAUCUGCCUGAUAGUGGGGGACAACGUUUCGAAAGGAACGCUAAUACCGCAUACGUCCUACGGGAGAAAGCAGGGGACCUUCGGGCCUUGCGCUAUCAGAUGAGCCUAGGUCGGAUUAGCUAGUUGGUGAGGUAAUGGCUCACCAAGGCUACGAUCCGUAACUGGUCUGAGAGGAUGAUCAGUCACACUGGAACUGAGACACGGUCCAGACUCCUACGGGAGGCAGCAGUGGGGAAUAUUGGACAAUGGGCGAAAGCCUGAUCCAGCCAUGCCGCGUGUGUGAAGAAGGUCUUCGGAUUGUAAAGCACUUUAAGUUGGGAGGAAGGGCAGUAAGCGAAUACCUUGCUGUUUUGACGUUACCGACAGAAUAAGCACCGGCUAACUCUGUGCCAGCAGCCGCGGUAAUACAGAGGGUGCAAGCGUUAAUCGGAAUUACUGGGCGUAAAGCGCGCGUAGUGGUUCGUUA